Long non-coding RNA from Homo sapiens (human), 442 nucleotides. Ensembl annotates it as MIR3681 host gene. The record is from Ensembl. NCBI's taxonomy places the organism in Eukaryota, Metazoa, Chordata, Mammalia, Primates, Hominidae.
CUUAAUGGAGUGAACUGCCUGUGAAGCGCAGAGGCAAGGACAUGUGCUGGAUGUGUAUGCAGUCUUUGAAGCUGGAGAGGCCUGUGUUGGAAACUGUGCUCUGUCCCAUGCCAGUUCCCUGACCUUGGAACCCCUAGAGCAAUCAACAGACAGACAGAGCCCUGCUUCAUGGAGCGUCUGCUCUCUCCUGGAGCUCACACGCUGAAACAGACAGGAUGCAACACCUCAGGGUUGUUGGAGAACCAGAGGCUGUUGCAAUUAGGAUGGCGAAUGGUGAAAAACAGUGUGGUUGAAUUGAACAUAAGCUGAAGGGCUAGACAUCAUGGCUUCAAUCCUUGUGGAGAAUGACUUGUGAAUUGCCACCUCCUGCAAAUCCUGUGGCCUAUGAUCUGGACCAAAUCACAUCCAAGUGUCUGAUCAGUUCUGAGAGUGGUUGUGGAUG